GUUGUGUUUGAUGAGGUAAGGAAACCAAACCUGUCUUGGCAAAGCUGAUGCAAUCAAUCAAAAUGAACUUGGCUUGGUCCUGCUUGAUCUUAGUGAGGACUUUUAAAGCAGUGGAGCUAGAGGAUAUGCAUGCAAUGAAGAAAGCAACUUCUAGAGAUUGUUCCGUUUAGAACAGAAUUUCCUGCCCUUUGUGUUGGCUGCCAUAACUGAAAGGUUAACCUCUGGAAAUUCCCAAGCUAGGAAUAUUUUGCUGAGGAUUCAAGAGGCCAACUCCCAUUCAUAAUUUAGGGAGAAAUGUCUGCUGAGGUUGUCUGCCCAUGGUUUUGUAAACCCAUCAGAUUAAUAUGCAUGUGUUGUCCUGUUGUGAGCAUUUGCCUUGGACUGUACGAGGAUUCAAAUGUGCUCCCCAUCCAAAGAGGGAAGUGUCUGAUGUUAACAUGACCACAGGGAGAUUGUGGUUGAAUGGGACUCCUGCACAAACAUUGGAAGGAUUCUUCUACCAGGAUCUUCCCUUAGAAGAAGUGCAGAUCUUGCACUUGCUGGGGAUAUGAGAGUCUCCGAAACAAUGUAUGUACUGGGAAUGCCCAUCGGCCAUCACCAAGGGGGACAGCUUCUUGAAACAAGAGGCAUCCCAGACAGAAGAAAAAUUUGUUUGGACCCCUUAAUAGGGGAAAAAUUAAAACAUAAUUAUACACACACAUUUUUAAGAAAAGAAAAGCACGAACAACCAUUCCAAUAACUAUAAGGUUACUAACUAAAUAUACUACUACUAAAGAACUAACUACUAAUGCAAAGCACAAAUAGGCACACACUAAACUCCAACUCUGGCUGAAGGUGGUUGAGAAGGAACUGAGGGCAGUUUGCCCAUGCAACCUUAUAUAGCCUCAAUAUAGGGCACAAGAAUAGGUAGGGCGCAUGCAGGUCAAACUGGCACUGCUACCACAAAGUCGCAGGGCGCAUGCUCACCUGAAGUGGAGCACCCACAGCGCCACUACUCAAAGAAGAAUCUAUUUUACUGAAACAUUAAGCUUGCACAAGUAAGCAUUCAUUUGUUAGAAAGUGAAAAAGUUAAGGUUGAUUGUGAAACCUAACUCUGUCCCCACUGAACAUAUACAUUACAGUACAGUCUACAAGCCUGAUUCACCACUACAUUACUCAAAUUUAGCCUUAGAUUCACACUGGCGUAAAGAUGGAGUUACACACUGGUGAAUCAGGCAUUAUAAAUUUAUGAGCACAUCAUCUUAGAUCCCAAGGUGUAUUUAAGGUUGGCUAGAUAAGUGGUGAGCCGAGAUCUCUGCUUAACAUACAAUAACUUUUGCCUAAUCCUCUUCUUCCCCCACAUUUGUUUGCCUUGUCCACUGGUCCUGUCUUAGCAUAAUUUAGACUGCAAGUUCCUUGAGGUCAGGAUCAUCUUUUCAAUGUGUGUUUGUACAGUGCUAACACAAUGGGACCCCAGUUCUGGAUCGGGGUUCUUAGGCACUACUGCAAUACUGAUAAUAAAUAAAAAGAAUAAGAUUGUAGAAAAAUUGUAUUAUAUUGUGAUUCAUUAUUGAGAAAUAGUGUGUGUUCCCUUGGAUCUGCACCAAAACAUGUUUUCUGUAAAACAGGAAGUAUAUUAAAAAAAAAAAAAAAGGCAGCAGGCACUUUUUCCAAAAUAGUGGUGGCUCCUAAAAUGAAGACUUAGGAAGAUGUGAAAAGCAAAAUAAAAGAGCAUAUCUGA
This is a long non-coding RNA of Dermochelys coriacea (leatherback sea turtle), 1720 nucleotides long. RefSeq lists it as uncharacterized. Lineage: Eukaryota; Metazoa; Chordata; Testudines; Dermochelyidae. The transcript has 3 exons. The record is from RefSeq and is a predicted model, not a curated record.